RNAcentral lists this ribosomal RNA (482 nucleotides) under uncultured bacterium. RNAcentral's name for it is "partial 16S ribosomal RNA". It matches the Rfam family "Bacterial small subunit ribosomal RNA", at positions 28 to 523 of the family's 1533-position model. The record is from RNAcentral.
GACGAACGCUGGCGGCGUGCUUAACACAUGCAAGUCGAACGAAGAACCUUCCUUCGGGAGGGGGACGAGUGGCGAACGGGUGAGUAACACGUGGGCAACCUGCCCCUCGCUCUGGGAUAACCCCGGGAAACCGGGGCUAAUACCAGAUAUUCAACUCCGCAGGCAUCUGUGGAGUUGGAAAGGAUUCUGGCGAGGGAUGGGCCCGCGGCCUAUCAGCUUGCUGGUGGGGUAAUGGCCUACCAAGGCGACGACGGGUAACCGGCCUGAGAGGGCGACCGGUCACACUGGGACUGAGACACGGCCCAGACUCCUACGGGAGGCAGCAGUGGGGAAUAUUGCGCAAUGGGCGAAAGCCUGGCGCAGCAACGCCGCGUGAGGGAUGAAGUACGUCGAGAUGUAAACCUCUUUCAGCAGGGACGAAGCGAAAGUGACGGUACCUGCAGAAGAAGCGCCGGCUAACUACGUGCCAGCAGCCGCCGUAA